RNAcentral lists this long non-coding RNA (2388 nucleotides) under Lactuca sativa (garden lettuce). RNAcentral describes it as "long non-coding RNA (LSAT_LNC001582)". The record is from RNAcentral. Lineage: Eukaryota; Viridiplantae; Streptophyta; Magnoliopsida; Asterales; Asteraceae.
CCACAUAUUAAAAAAUCACAAACCUUUUUUUAUUAAAGCAUUUAUCUAUAUUAUAAUUUAAAAUUGUCCAACCUAAGAAAAAUGCACCAAAAAACUUGGCAUAUAGCAAUUUUCGAUUUGGAAUGCCACAAAACAGAGCAAAAUUCUUUUUUAUCGGCUGUAUAAUAACAAUCUUUGUAAAAAAUUGCAUAAUGCAGAUCAUUACCUCUAUAGCCACAGAAAGGUGGUCCCACCUUAUAGUUUGUCACCUUGUAACUUCGUCUACAAUAACUCAAAAAGUAUAUGAACUAAAGGUGUUAACAAAUGAUCUUGUCAGUUUUGUAGAUAAAGUCAUCAAGUAUUCUACUCUCAAGACUUAAAUUUACUCGAAUAAAUUUACUUUUGUACAGUAUUAUUUUUUAAACAAAGUAUGUGAUUGCAAUUUAUUUUCUUUAACAUAAUUUAUAUGUACUAAGUCGACAGAGAAAAUUGAACAAUUUCUACAAUCUGGAUGUACUUCUCGUUCUUCGGUCAUCGUUUUUGUUUGUACAGUAUAUUACUGCAGAUGUUGAAAAAGAACAUAAACCAUCAGAAAAUGUAUUUUCAAUUUUGGCAGGACAAUAAAGAUAAGUUUUCUUAAGUCUCUUCACAUCAAAUUUCAUAUUCUCAUAUCUUAUUGGGUCAUAAAAUUGUAUCUAUGCGAUUAUACUAAAUAUAAAAACAUGCAUAUAUCAAACUGUACAUAUCAGAAAACACUUUGCAGGGCAUAAGAGCUGACCUUGCAACUAAAAAACUAAAAUCGUCACUCUUCCAAAGUAUAUAACACAAAAAGCAACUUGAAAUCUCGUAACCUAAGUAGGUUAUGAGAUUUAGUCGACUAUCAGAAACCAAUCCGUGUUUGCUGGAUAUCAUAAUGAAGUAAAAAAAAAAUCAUAUUUUCAAUUAUCACAAUUAUAAGCAGAUUGGGCAACCAUAGCUUUUGUAACUUCAUCAAAACAGUGAGCAUUAAAAUAUUUAGGCUUACGGAUACAAUUGAACCGACUAUUCUCAACAUUAAACCAAUCAAUUGGUAUAAAAAAUACUCCCCAGAUAAUAGUUCAACAAAAGCCCCAACUUAACAAAAUUGCAUAUUGUUUGUUGGUGAAAAUAUCCAAGAAUCAUCACAGACUCAAAUUUAAUAUCGAUAUUGGCUUAGCUUGGGUGAAAUCUUCAACCCAUAAGAUAAGUUUUUGAUUUCUUACUAACAACCAUUAUAUUAAUAAUAUUCCAAAACUAAAUAGAGAUUAGAGAGGGAAUUACGAUCUGUAUUUUUAGAGAUUAAAGACCUUACCUGUGCAUGAGCAUGUAUUUCUGGUUGACUGAUAUCCGUUCCAAUAUAGGAAAUAGCAUAAUUUUGAGGAUAAUGAUCCGAGUAAAUAGCUAAUGAAAGAAAAACAUAUUCAAUUUUGCGGAUAAUCAUGUGAAAUCAAACACAUGCAGGUUGUAACAAUAACAUAAAUAUACAAAAUAGAAAAAAAUAAAAAAAAAAAAGGUCAAAAUACAACUUACAGAAUAUUGCAUGGACAAACAAUGAACAAAAAUUGAACUUACAGUUUACAUCCAUUAACACAAUUUGUAGUUAUCACAAUUCCAAAACCUACUACUGAAACAAUUUCUUACCAGUGGUAGACUCGUCUCUCUCUAAUUUGCUUUUAAUAUGAAACCAUAGAUUGUCAAAAGAGAUUCCAAAACUAAAAUCAAUAUAAAAAUGAGAACCAGCAAAUCUAGGCAAUCAAAAUCAGAACGCGUAAAUUUAGGAAAUAAAAAUUGACCUUCAAUAUAUCAAAGGGAGAGUUGUAAAUUGGAAAAAAAGUUGAUGCAUUUACCUUAUAAUUGUGUGGUGUUCCAAUCCUCAACAAAACCUAGAUGGUUGGACGAAGAUGUAGGUAUAGAUUUAAAUUUGGAUUAAUGGCUUAACUAAGAGACAAGGUUUGCAGAGAGCGAAAUGAAGAACUGAAAAUAAGGAGCAGUCAUACCAUCCAAAGAAAGCCAGGGAAGAUAAGAGCGUCAGAGUGAAGGUCCGAAAUGGAUUAUCAGUUAUCAAAACCUAAAUUAGAAUAUGGGGAGCAAACAGUUCAUAGAAAACCGGUGGUAUGGAGUUAGGGCAUCAAUAUGAAACAACGAUUAUGCUUCUUAUCUGCAAAGAAACCCAUCAAUUGAUCAAUUAUAGAGGAGCGGUGGCGAAACGGGCAAAUGUUGAUAUAUUGGGUUGUUAGGUAGAGAGAGGUGAUGGAGGUAGUGUAUUGAGAAAGUAAGGAAGCAUUAGAGGAAAGGAAUCAUUGGAGGAGGUGAAUGGAAGCGUGGAGAUGAAGAGAUUACUUUUCAAACGGUGGCACAUUGUCCCAUUUAGUGGAAUUUAGUGGAACCAUG